RNAcentral lists this transfer RNA (71 nucleotides) under Stegodyphus mimosarum. It matches the Rfam family "tRNA". Rfam says of the family: Transfer RNA (tRNA) molecules are approximately 80 nucleotides in length. Their secondary structure includes four short double-helical elements and three loops (D, anti-codon, and T loops). The record is from Rfam by way of RNAcentral. Lineage: Eukaryota; Metazoa; Arthropoda; Arachnida; Araneae; Eresidae.
GCCGUCGUGGUGUAACGGUAGCAAAUUCGGCGCGUAUUCGAGAGGUCUAGGUUCGAAUCCCGGCGAAGGCA